Molecule: unclassified non-coding RNA, 607 nt
Filed under: Hevea brasiliensis (rubber tree)
Lineage: Eukaryota; Viridiplantae; Streptophyta; Magnoliopsida; Malpighiales; Euphorbiaceae
Source: RNAcentral
AGCUCAACCUUGUUGAGUUCAUUAAUAAAGAUCCCGUGUUCCUCUCUGUAUCUCAACUGGCUUGAAUAAUUCAUAGCUACCUGAUUAUUAUUAUUCUUAGAAAAGGUACAAGUUUUGGUUGAAAUAUGGAGAAAUCAAAUCUUCUUGUGAAUGGUGGGAUGAAAUUGCCUAUUGGGUAUAGAUUUCAUCCUACAGAUGAAGAACUUCUUCUUCAUUACUUGAGACGUAAGGUCUUUGGUGUUCCAUUGCCUGCUUCUGUUAUUCCUGAGCUUGAUGUAUUCCAAGCUGAUCCCUGGAGCUUGCCAGGUAAUUUGAAGGAAAAGAGGUAUUUCUUUGGCAGAAAUUGGGGAAAUGACAGUGAAAACGGAUGCAAGAAAGCUGCUGGUUCUGGCUACUGGAAGCCUAUUGGCAAAGGCAGGCAAAUUGUAGCUUCUUUUAGCAACCAUGUAAUUGGAAUGAAGAAAACUCUAAUUUUCCGUGAAGGGAAGCAUUCUAAUGACUCUACAACUCAGUGGAUCAUGCAUGAAUAUCGCCUUGUAGGCUCAGGAACAAUCCCUAACAUAACCCAGAUAGCUAAGAUGAAAUUAGGAGAUUGGGUUGUCUACCG